Molecule: ribosomal RNA, 274 nt
Filed under: uncultured bacterium
Lineage: Bacteria
Description: partial 16S ribosomal RNA
Rfam family: Bacterial small subunit ribosomal RNA
Source: RNAcentral
AUACGGAGGGUCCAAGCGUUAUCCGGAAUCAUUGGGUUUAAAGGGUCCGCAGGCGGUCAAUUAAGUCAGAGGUGAAAGCCCAUCGCUCAACGAUGGAACUGCCUUUGAUACUGGUUGACUUGAGUUAUACGGAAGUAGAUAGAAUAAGUAGUGUAGCGGUGAAAUGCAUAGAUAUUACUUAGAAUACCGAUUGCGAAGGCAGUCUACUACGUAUAUACUGACACUGAGGGACGAAAGCGUGGGGAGCGAACAGGAUUAGAAACCCUAGUAGUCC